Molecule: long non-coding RNA, 286 nt
Organism: Hydra vulgaris (swiftwater hydra)
Lineage: Eukaryota; Metazoa; Cnidaria; Hydrozoa; Anthoathecata; Hydridae
Source: RefSeq, a predicted model, not a curated record
AACUUGUGUUUUAUUGUUUGAUUGUUGAGUUAUUUUGUAUUUAUUUAUUGCUCAAAAGAGUUUUUAACUUUAUCCAGAGUUGUUUGUUGUUUGGCUUUUGUUAAACCACUCAUAUUGAGUAACAACUUGAAAUUGACCAAAGCACAUUUAAAGUUGACUCGAAAUGGAAAAGAAAGGAAAGACUGUAUUUUUGUGUAUUUGGAUUGAUUUACUUAUAUUUAUUAUUUAACUAAUAUAUAUUACUAAAAGAUUUUUUAAGUAUAUCUAUAUUGUAAAUGUAUAUAGG